Erigeron canadensis is the source of this 962-nucleotide long non-coding RNA. RefSeq lists it as uncharacterized. The record is from RefSeq and is a predicted model, not a curated record. NCBI's taxonomy places the organism in Eukaryota, Viridiplantae, Streptophyta, Magnoliopsida, Asterales, Asteraceae. The transcript has 2 exons.
ACCAUUCUUAAAAAAAUUUAAAAAAUUAAAAAAAAUAUUCAGGUACUUCUUUGUAAUUAACCCAAGAUAGAGAUUAGAGAUAUGGAACAGAGAAUAGGGAAAGAGAAUAGAGAUAAAGAUUCGGCUGCAGGUGAAUGACCUUAAACGGCGCACAAUGAUAUCCAAAUACAUACGGGAUGCGAUGAUGAUGAUGAUGAUGAUAGUCUUUUUUUUGAAAAACUUUGGCAAAUGCAAUUUCCUGCUCAUUCUUUGAACUUGUGCUGGAAGUAGUUUGCUUAUCUUGUCCCAAAACAUUGUAUAACCACCUUUGAAUCGUCUAAUCUUUCCAGCCAUUGAAGUCCUUAUAAACUCAUGAACAUAUGCAUGAGGCAUAUCCUGCACAAAGCCAUAACCUGAAGCUGUGAAUCCAUAGGCGACAGACUUGGGAACCGAUUCCAGUCCAUUAGCCUUUAGGAAUGAAGGAGUUAGCUCUGAAGCAAUGUCGCUAAUCGCAUGCACCCCGUUUCUACAUGUAGCCUUGGCCUCUUCCUGGAUUUUCAAGGUUAGAGAUAUAACGGAAAUGUAAUCAUCAGCGACCUUGGUGUCAUUGUAUUUUCCUGUAGUGCUAUCAAUGGUGGCGAACUUAUGAGUAUCUAGUUCCUCUGUUUCAGCCCCGAUUUCUUUCGCCAGGUGAAAGAUGGUUGGAGCGCUAUUUGCAGCCAGGACUUGACCUCCUAGAUCAUAGAUCCUCCCUGUGACAUAUUUUUAGAAUCCUCUAGUGUAAAGUUAAAGAACCUUGGAUGUUAAUACAUUCACUAUAUCAUUGUUAAAGGUCGGUAGCAAGAUAUGCAGGUUGGGCGAGUCAAGUGAUGGUGAACAUGUUGUGGUUAAAACACUCCUUAUUAGUAUAUGCAGUCUGGAUUGUCAAAUUAACACUUCUUUGUCCAUUUUCACUUUUUGUAUUAUCAAUAUUUUUUGUGUUA